Molecule: ribosomal RNA, 748 nt
Filed under: uncultured Glomus
Lineage: Eukaryota; Fungi; Glomeromycota; Glomeromycetes; Glomerales; Glomeraceae
Description: LSU rRNA
Rfam family: Eukaryotic large subunit ribosomal RNA
Source: RNAcentral
GCAUAUCAAUAAGCGGAGGAAAAGAAAAUAACAAUGAUUCCCUUAGUAACGGCGAGUGAAGGGGGAAAAGCUCAAAUUUUAAAUCGGCGUAGGUUUUACCUAGUCGAGUUGUAAUUUGAAGAAGCGUUUACCGCGUCCUGGUCGACCCAAAUCCUUUGGGAUAAGGUAUCAUGGAGGGUGAGAAUCCCGUCCGGUUGACCUCAGGAUGUUUUACGUUACGCUCUCUAAGAGUCGAGUUGUUUGGGAUUGCAGCUCAAAAUGGGAGGUAAAUUUCUCCUAAGGCUAAAUACAGGCGAGAGACCGAUAGCGAACAAGUACCGUGAGGGAAAGAUGAAAAGAACUUUGAAAAGAGAGUCAAACAGUACGUGAAAUUGUUGAAAGGGAAACGAUUGAAGCCAGUCGUACCGUCGGGAAUUCAACUUUUUGAGCGCUUGUCGUGGGUGAUGUAGAGCCUCACGGCCUUCGUUGCUUUGCGUUAUGGUGCUUUUAGGGUGUACUUUUCCGUAUGGUAGGUCAAUAUCGAUUUUGAUCGUCAUAAAAUGAUCGGAGGAAUGUGGCUUCGAUCUCGUAUCGGAGUGUUAUAGCCUUUGGUAGAUGUGACUAUUGGGAUCGAGGAUUGCAACGAAUACCCUUUGGGCUAUCCGUCUGACCUCUGAAAGUCGCUCGGGUGUUGAAAGCGUGCUUAUGACAUUCUAGUUGGCGGUCAAAAGGUUAGAACGCGAUUACAUUCGUUAAGGAUGUUGACGUA